This 404-nucleotide ribosomal RNA is filed under the name Actinomycetes bacterium. Its description in RNAcentral is "Actinobacteria bacterium partial 16S ribosomal RNA". It matches the Rfam family "Bacterial small subunit ribosomal RNA", at positions 355 to 776 of the family's 1533-position model. The record is from RNAcentral. Lineage: Bacteria; Bacillati; Actinomycetota; Actinomycetes.
UGGGGAAUAUUGGACAAUGGGCGCAAGCCUGAUCCAGCCAUGCCGCGUGAGUGAUGAAGGCCCUAGGGUUGUAAAGCUCUUUCACCGGUGAAGAUAAUGACGGUAACCGGAGAAGAAGCCCCGGCUAACUUCGUGCCAGCAGCCGCGGUAAUACGAAGGGGGCUAGCGUUGUUCGGAUUUACUGGGCGUAAAGCGCACGUAGGCGGUGAUGUAAGUCUGAGGUGAAAACCCGAAGCUCAACUUCGGGACUGCCUUGGAUACUGCGUCACUUGAGGAUAGGAGAGGCAAGGGGAAUUCCACGUGUAGCGGUGAAAUGCGUAGAGAUGUGGAGGAACACCUGUGGCGAAGGCGCCUUGCUGGCCUAUUUCUGACGCUGAGGCGCGAAAGCGUGGGGAGCAAACAGG